AUUGAACGCUGGCGGCAGGCCUAACACAUGCAAGUCGAGCGGAUGAAGGGAGCUUGCUCCUGGAUUCAGCGGCGGACGGGUGAGUAAUGCCUAGGAAUCUGCCUGGUAGUGGGGGAUAACGUCCUGAAACGGGCGCUAAUACCGCAUACGUCCUGAGGGAGAAAGUGGGGGAUCUUCGGACCUCACGCUAUCAGAUGAGCCUAGGUCGGAUUAGCUAGUUGGUGGGGUAAAGGCCUACCAAGGCGACGAUCCGUAACUGGUCUGAGAGGAUGAUCAGUCACACUGGAACUGAGACACGGUCCAGACUCCUACGGGAGGCAGCAGUGGGGAAUAUUGGACAAUGGGCGAAAGCCUGAUCCAGCCAUGCCGCGUGUGUGAAGAAGGUCUUCGGAGUGUAAAGCACUUUAAGUUGGGAGGAAGGGCAGUAAGUUAAUACCUUGCUGUUUUGACGUUACCAACAGAAUAAGCACCGGCUAACUUCGUG
Molecule: ribosomal RNA, 484 nt
Filed under: uncultured bacterium
Lineage: Bacteria
Description: partial 16S ribosomal RNA
Rfam family: Bacterial small subunit ribosomal RNA
Source: RNAcentral